AUACGGAAGGGGGCUAGCGUUGUUCGGAAUUACUGGGCGUAAAGCGCACGUAGGCGGACAUUUAAGUCAGGGGUGAAAUCCCGGGGCUCAACCCUGGAACUGCCUUUGAUACUGGGUGUCUUGAGUACGAGAGAGGUGAGUGGAAUUCCGAGUGUAGAGGUGAAAUUCGUAGAUAUUCGGAAGAACACCAGUGGCGAAGGCGGCUCACUGGCUCGUAACUGACGCUGAGGUGACGAAAGCGUGGGGAGC
Molecule: ribosomal RNA, 249 nt
Filed under: uncultured bacterium
Lineage: Bacteria
Description: partial 16S ribosomal RNA
Rfam family: Bacterial small subunit ribosomal RNA
Source: RNAcentral